RNAcentral lists this ribosomal RNA (250 nucleotides) under uncultured prokaryote. RNAcentral's name for it is "partial 16S ribosomal RNA". It matches the Rfam family "Bacterial small subunit ribosomal RNA", at positions 524 to 773 of the family's 1533-position model. The record is from RNAcentral.
UACGGAGGAUGCAAGCGUUAUCCGGAUUUAUUGGGUUUAAAGGGUGCGUAGGCUGCUUUGCAAGUCAGGGGUGAAAGCCCGGCGCUCAACGCCGGAUGUGCCUUUGAUACUGCGAGGCUUGAAUACUGUUGCCGUGGGAGGAAUGAGUAGUGUAGCGGUGAAAUGCAUAGAUAUUACUCGGAACACCGAUUGCGAAGGCAUCUCACGAAACAGCGAUUGACGCUGAGGCACGAAAGCGUGGGGAUCAAAC